This 69-nucleotide transfer RNA is filed under the name Hordeum vulgare. RNAcentral describes it as "tRNA-OTHER". Lineage: Eukaryota; Viridiplantae; Streptophyta; Magnoliopsida; Poales; Poaceae. The record is from RNAcentral.
GGAUGUGGCACAGUGGUAUGGCUCUGUUGCUGUUACACAGGGGUUCUGGGUUCGAAUCCCAGGUACCCC